AACCCGGCGGUAAAAUGUCACUUUGGCGUGGCGUGAGUCAUCAGUUCGA
This 49-nucleotide transfer RNA is filed under the name Plagiogyria glauca. Its description in RNAcentral is "partial tRNA-Val". The record is from RNAcentral. Lineage: Eukaryota; Viridiplantae; Streptophyta; Polypodiopsida; Cyatheales; Plagiogyriaceae.